UGAACGCUAGCGGCAGGCUUAACACAUGCAAGUCGAGGGGUAUAUUUCUUCGGAGAUAGAGACCGGCGCACGGGUGCGUAACGCGUAUGCAAUCUGCCUUUCACAGAGGGAUAGCCCAGAGAAAUUUGGAUUAAUACCUCAUAGUAUUAUAGGAUGGCAUCAUUUUAUAAUUAAAGUCACAACGGUGAAAGAUGAGCAUGCGUCCCAUUAGCUAGUUGGUAAGGUAACGGCUUACCAAGGCAACGAUGGGUAGGGGUCCUGAGAGGGAGAUCCCCCACACUGGUACUGAGACACGGACCAGACUCCUACGGGAGGCAGCAGUGAGGAAUAUUGGACAAUGGGCGCAAGCCUGAUCCAGCCAUGCCGCGUGCAGGAUGACGGUCCUAUGGAUUGUAAACUGCUUUUGUACGAGAAGAAACACUGAUUCGUGAAUCAGCUUGACGGUAUCGUAAGAAUAAGGAUCGGCUAACUCCGUG
This 476-nucleotide ribosomal RNA is filed under the name uncultured Flavobacterium sp. Its description in RNAcentral is "bacterial SSU rRNA". It matches the Rfam family "Bacterial small subunit ribosomal RNA", at positions 30 to 507 of the family's 1533-position model. Lineage: Bacteria; Pseudomonadati; Bacteroidota; Flavobacteriia; Flavobacteriales; Flavobacteriaceae. The record is from RNAcentral.